GGCCAGGUGCAGUGGCUCACGCCUAUAAUCCCAGGACUUUGGGAGGCCAAGGUGGGCGGAUCACCUGAAGUCAGGAGUUCGAGACCAGCCUGGCCAACAUGGUGAAACCCCGUCUCUACUAAAAAUACAAAAAUUAGCUGGGUGUGAUGGCGCAUGCCUGUCAUCCCAGCUACUCAGGAGGUUGAGGCAGGAGAAUUGCUCAAACCCAGGAGACAGAGGUUGCAGUGAGCCGAGAUCAUGCCACUGCACUCCAGUCUGGGCAACAGAGUGAGACUCGGUCUAAAAAAAAAAAGUCAGCAGAGUAAGGAAAUGCUCUUUAUCACUUGUCUCCAGGAUGCUCCCCAAGUGAAGGCCAGGCUGCCUGUUCUGGAACCUUGGAUGCAAUGAGAUCCAUAGUUGGCAACGGUGCCAAGAGAACAAAGAAGAACAAUGCAUCUGAGAGAGCCACUGUGACACCUAGAGCUCACUUCUGCAUGGCCAGCUAGGGCCUGGAGAUGCAGCCAGGGGAAUGAGUUGGGAGCUAGGCCACCCCUUGCUCCUCCCAGGAUUGCCUCCCUCAGUAAAAACACCUGGUUUUUGAAGACUGCUUUUUUUCUGCUGAGGGACAAUAUCAUGAG
RNAcentral lists this long non-coding RNA (617 nucleotides) under Homo sapiens (human). RNAcentral describes it as "HSALNT0330270". The record is from RNAcentral. Lineage: Eukaryota; Metazoa; Chordata; Mammalia; Primates; Hominidae.